CCUACGGGAGGCUGCAGUGGGGGAUAUUGCACAAUGGGGGAAACCCUGAUGCAGCGAUGCCGCGUGAAUGAAGACGGCCUUCGGGUUGUAAAGUUCUGUCGCAGGGGACGAAAAUGACGGUACCCUGCAAGAAAGCUCCGGCUAACUACGUGCCAGCAGCCGCGGAAAUACGUAGGGAGCAAGCGUGGUCCGGAAUUACGGGGGGAAAGGGGAGCGUAGGGGGGAGGAUAAGUUGAAUGUGAAAUCCAUGGGCUCAACCGAUAGCUGCGUUCAAAACUGUUCUUCUUGAGUGAAGUAGAGGCAGGUGGAAUUCCUAGUGUAGCGGUGAAAUGCGUAGAUAUUAGGAGGAACAGCAGUGGCGAAGGCGGCCUGCUGGGCCUUUACUGACGCUGAGGCUCGAAAGCGUGGGUAGCAAACAGGAUUAGAUACCCCUGUAGUC
RNAcentral lists this ribosomal RNA (439 nucleotides) under uncultured bacterium. RNAcentral describes it as "partial 16S ribosomal RNA". It matches the Rfam family "Bacterial small subunit ribosomal RNA", at positions 338 to 795 of the family's 1533-position model. The record is from RNAcentral.